UUCCGGUUGAUCCCGCCGGACCCUACUGCUAUCGGGGUGGGACUAAGACAUGCAAGUCGAGCGCUUCUAAGCCAUGGUAGAAGCGUGGCGAACGGCUCAGUAACACGUGGCUAACCUACCCUUGAGACAGAGAUAACCCCGGGAAACUGGGGCUAAUCUCUGAUAGGCGAAGAAGCCUGGAACGGCUCUUCGCCCAAAAGAUGUUAGCACCAUGCUUGCUAACAUCGCUCAAGGAUGGGGCCGCGGCCGAUCAGGUUGUUGGUGAGGUAACGGCUCACCAAGCCUAUAACCGGUACGGGCCGUGGGAGCGGUAGCCCGGAGAUGGGCACUGAGAUAAGGGCCCAAGCCCUACGGGGCGCAGCAGUCGCGAAAACUCCGCAAUACGCGAAAGCGUGACGGGGCUACCCCGAGUGUCGUCCGCUGAGGACGACUUUUCCACGCUGUAAGGAGGCGUGGGAAUAAGGAGAGGGCAAGUCUGGUGUCAGCCGCCGCGGUAAAACCAGC
RNAcentral lists this ribosomal RNA (504 nucleotides) under uncultured crenarchaeote. Its description in RNAcentral is "bacterial SSU rRNA". It matches the Rfam family "Archaeal small subunit ribosomal RNA", at positions 1 to 480 of the family's 1478-position model. The record is from RNAcentral. Lineage: Archaea; Thermoproteati; Thermoproteota.